Molecule: transfer RNA, 89 nt
Filed under: Acetobacterium woodii DSM 1030
Lineage: Bacteria; Bacillati; Bacillota; Clostridia; Eubacteriales; Eubacteriaceae
Rfam family: tRNA
About the family: Transfer RNA (tRNA) molecules are approximately 80 nucleotides in length. Their secondary structure includes four short double-helical elements and three loops (D, anti-codon, and T loops).
Source: Rfam by way of RNAcentral
GUCUCAUUGGGCAAACUGGAUAAGCCGACCACCUUUAUAGAUUUUAUCCUUUAAAGUGGUAGACAUAAGUUCGAUUCUUAUAUGAGGCA